Molecule: ribosomal RNA, 468 nt
Filed under: uncultured bacterium
Lineage: Bacteria
Description: partial 16S ribosomal RNA
Rfam family: Bacterial small subunit ribosomal RNA
Source: RNAcentral
GACGAACGCUGGCGGCGUGCUUAACACAUGCAAGUCGAACGGACAGGCCCUGCUUUUGUGGCGUGCUCGAGUGGCGAACGGGUGAGUAACACGUGAGUAACCUGCCCUUGACUUUGUGAUAACUUCAGGAAACUGGGGCUAAUACCGGAUAGGAGCUCCUGCUGCGUGGUGGGGGUUGGAAAGUUUCGGCGGUUGUGGCUGGACUCGCGGCUUAUCAGCUUGUUGGUGGGGUAGUGGCUUACCAAGGCUUUGAAGGGUAGCCGGCAUUGGAGGGUGACCGGCCACAUUGGGACUGAGAUACGGCCCAGACGCCUACGGGAGGCAGUAGUGGGGAAUAUUGCACAAUGGGCGGAAGCGUGAUGCAGAAACGUCGCGUGCGGGAUGACGGCUUUCGGGGUGUAAACCGCUUUCGCCUGUGACGAAGCGUGAGUGACGGUAAUGGGUAAAGAAGCACCGGCUAACUACGUG